GGCCACGGGACCAUGGCCGGACACCGGCGCUCCCGAUGGACACCGGGAUCCUCCUGAGGGAGCUGAGCCACAGCACCCACCCGGCUCCAGGAAUGCAGUCAGGGAGGCAUGGAUGGAGUGGUUUGGGUGGGAAAGGACCCCAGAGCCCCCCAGUGCCAGCCCCAGUGUCCAGCCUGGCCCUGGGCACUGCCAGGAUCCAGGGGCAGCCCCAGCUGCUCUGGCAAUCCCAGCCCAGCCAGGAAUUCCUCAUUCCCAAUCUCCCAUCCAUGGCUGCCCUCUGGCAGUGGGAGCCAUUCCCUGGGUCCUGUCCCCCCAUCCUUGUCCCCAGCCCCUCUGCAGCUCUCCUGGAGCCCCUCCUGGACCUCCUCUCCCCAGCCAGGUGUCAGUGUCACCUGGCUGCUCUUGUAGAGCCCCAGAGGAGAUGGGAUCCAAAGGGACCUUCGGAGGUCACCUGGGAUCCCUUAAAGCAGCUCCUGGGCCCUCACAGCUUCCAGUUUUCCUGGAGAGCUCCUCCAAAGGGACCCGUGGCUCCUGCCCCGUGUGGGUGGUUGUUGGAGGGGCUGUGGGGCCGUGUCCCCCAGGGGUUUAUGGAAACCCUCCUGCUGCAGCCGUGGCCGUGUCCCGCUGCCAGGAGCGCUCGGGGCCGGCAGCGCUUUCCUGCGCCGAGCUCUCGGAAGCAGGCGGGGCUUUUUAAAUUUAAUUACUUCCUCUUCUGCCCUAAUGUUUCCAAAGAUAAACACAGCUCUCCCUCGGAACGGGGUCAGGGAACAGCCGGGCUCUAGCCAGGCUGUGCCGAGCCCGCUCCCAGCCCCAGCUCUGGGUGGAGGUGGUGGAGAUCUCCCAGGAUCUGCCUCUGCCAGGACAGCCGUGAUUCCGUGCUGGGCUGCUCCCUCUUCACCCACCACUCCUGGAUCCUGGGAUCUUCCCUGGCCCCUGGGUGCCAUCCCAAAAGUGCUGGGUGUGGGCAGGAUCCAAGUGGAUCUUCCUGCAGGAUCUGGGAGAGCAGAGAGCCCCACGUUCCACAGGCUCCUGGGGUUUUCCAGCCGCGCUCCGUGCCAAGGGUUUGCCAGCGUUCCUGAUCCCUGGGAGUCUGUGCCUGGCAGGGUGCCUGGC
RNAcentral lists this long non-coding RNA (1113 nucleotides) under Lonchura striata (white-rumped munia). RNAcentral's name for it is "domestica (Bengalese finch) lncRNA (ENSLSDG00000015345.1)". Lineage: Eukaryota; Metazoa; Chordata; Aves; Passeriformes; Estrildidae. The record is from RNAcentral.